RNAcentral lists this ribosomal RNA (419 nucleotides) under Drosophila venezolana. RNAcentral's name for it is "partial 12S ribosomal RNA". Lineage: Eukaryota; Metazoa; Arthropoda; Insecta; Diptera; Drosophilidae. The record is from RNAcentral.
UCAUUCUAGAUACACUUUCCAGUACAUCUACUAUGUUACGACUUAUCUUACCUUAAUAAUAAGAGCGACGGGCGAUGUGUACAUAUUUUAGAGCUAAAAUCAAAUUAUUAAUCUUUAUAAUUUUACAACCAAAUCCACCUUCAAAAAUUUUUUCAUAAUUUUAUCCGUUUAAAUAAAUUUAUUGUAACCCAUUAUUACUUAAAUAUAAGCUACACCUUGAUCUGAUAUAAAUUCUUUUUAAAAUUAUUGAAUAUUAUUAUUCUUAUAAAAUAUUCUGAUAACGACGGUAUAUAAACUGAUUACAAACUUAAGUAAGGUCCAUCGUGGAUUAUCGAUUACAAAACAGGUUCCUCUGGAUAGACUAAAAUACCGCCAAAUUUUUUAAGUUUCAAGAACAUAACUAUUACUACUUAAGUAUU